Rhagoletis pomonella (apple maggot) is the source of this 396-nucleotide long non-coding RNA. RefSeq lists it as uncharacterized. NCBI's taxonomy places the organism in Eukaryota, Metazoa, Arthropoda, Insecta, Diptera, Tephritidae. The record is from RefSeq and is a predicted model, not a curated record. The transcript is spliced from 2 exons.
CUUGAAUAAAUUUUCAUUAGAUCGUUUUGGUUUUUGCUAACUUUUGCUUAUUUCAAUAAAAGAUCAUGCCAAAAGCAAUGUCAACCAUUUCGGAAAGGCUGAAGCAGAUCGUUGGAGAAUUUUCUGAUUUUCAAACUGACGGUGAGGUGCUGAUUUGCAAGCUAUGUAGCAAGGUCGUAUCAUUUGAGAAAAAAUUUCUCGUAAAGCAGCAUUUCGAGGGCUUAUAUUCAAUACCCUCUAUCUGCAAUUUUGAUCAAAAUGAGUUUUUGAUGGUAACGUGAGCUCCGAUUAAUCUUUCAGCCAUGACAAUAAUGUCAAACUUAAAAUAUAGCUUUAAUGGUAUUAUAUUCUCAUUUUGAAAAUUCCACUAUCUGCAAUAACAUUUUGUUAUAAGAG